Molecule: long non-coding RNA, 2208 nt
Organism: Melospiza melodia melodia
Lineage: Eukaryota; Metazoa; Chordata; Aves; Passeriformes; Passerellidae
Exons: 3
Source: RefSeq, a predicted model, not a curated record
UCAAAAUUUUUUCUUUCAAGUAUUUCUUUCAAGGUUACUCAAGAGCUGAAAUAAGAAAAGUGAUAUUGAUUUUUAUAACAGUCUUUUUACUUACUGCACACUAUAUUAUGUGCUGCUUGUUUUGGGAGAAGAAACACAAAAUAGGGACAAUUUUAGAAUAUUUUGCUCAUAUAAGGAAAAAUACCAACUGAUUCUAGUCCCCUACUUAUUGCACUCCUUCUCCCAUGUUUGAGUUCUUGGAGAUUUUUCUCAUUAAAUAAGAAAGGAUUAACAUUAACAUACUUGAUGUGAGCUCAUAACACUAAGGAGGAUGGCUCAGAAAGGCAACAAGAAAGUUACUGUUUGUUGGAUUAUUGUGCACUUACAUGUGUAUAGAAAUAGCUCCUUGGGAAAAAUACAGUGGAAGGAUUUAAUAGCCAAUGUCUAUUCAGCUCUUAAGGUGAUCCCACAGAGUAAAUUCCAAACAGAAAUCCAGCAACACAAUUUCUGAGAUGUGACAUAAAUCACCACUACUAGACUCUUCAAGACACUCUGUAAAGAAUUAAACUUCAGAACCUAUAAAGGCUAUCACCACAAUUUGCCAUUUGUUACCUUGAACACAUAUUUUUUUUCUAAAUGUCGUUUUUCUUCCUCAAGUCCUGCUUUCUUCCUGAAUUUUAUAACAAUGUUUAGUGACUCUUUUAUAUAUGAUGUAAUUUUUUCUAGCUUGUAUUCCCAAAUUACUUAUCCAAAGUGAAAAAAUGAAAAAGGAAAUCAACAUACAUAUUUUAAUUCAAAACUCAUGUCAUUAAUAGCGAUACCCAAUCUUUCACCUGUAAGCAUUCGUAGGCCUUCUCUCCUCCUCUAAAGCAAAAGGAAAGCAUAUGUAUGGCACAAGUUUUUGCUGCAGGUGAAUAUGCAGUAAAUGUGUGAACUCUUAGAUCCUGGGGAUUUUUAAAGAAAUUCAUUACAUAAAAAAAACAUUGAAAAUGAGAUAUGCACUGCUUUCCAUCGUUACCAAGCCUGAUAAUUUUGGUAAAUUCCUCUUGAGCUGUGGCCUUAAGGAUGCUGCUCUUAGGUAACUCCACGAGCCUGCCCUAGACCACAUUUCAGACUUUCAAACAUCAAUGUCUUUGCAGGAGUUGGUACGUUUGGAGAACUUGUGUUAAAUUUUAGGAGAUGAAUUUCUUAAUCUUAUCUGGAAACUGACAUGGCAAAUUUAAAUUUCUUACUGUGAGAGCUCAAAGAGAAAAGGGAAGCUUUCAUCAUACUUUUGAUAAUUUUUGAAAUGCAACCUCGUGUCUUUAGCUGAUUAUGAUGCUACUAUCAUCUGGAAAAAAUCUAUGUAAAUCUGUCUCCUGUAAGAUUACAGCUUUGCCCUAUUGAGCUAAGUCAAAAACCCUCAAACUUUGAAUUUGUAGAAAUUAAAAACAUCAAAAAUAUAUGUUAAUUAGAUAUUAUCAAAGCAGUACUGUAGAUUUUCAGCAGCCAUUUCACAAAGUAGAACAAGGGGACAAGUAUUUUAGUGUCAGUAAUAAAUAUGCAUAUUUCAAUACUGAUAUCAUAAGCCCUAAUUAAAAGUUCUCAAUUACCUUGUACAAUUUAUGAUAGGACUGAAAAAAAAAAAAACCACAGAAAGAAAUUAAAUUUGGAGAGAAAUCUAAUUUACUCAAACAGUUUAUUUCAUUUCUGCUUUAAACAUGCAAAAUCCAUGAAAGUAUAAAUUAUUAUUUAACUUCCUAUUUCAUUUGAGAAUUCUGCAGCCAACUUGAUAAAGGGCAUGGGGACUUAAUUUGUCCAGUGAGGAGCUAUCUUCACUAGCAGGGAGUGGUAAAGGUUCAGGGACGCAUUUCCUGGCUGCUUGUCCAGCCUAGAGGGUGUCAAGGGAGAAGAGAUCUCCCACCAAUUCUUGAAGGCAUAUGGAUAUUCAGAUUUGUUCCUGAACCUCUCUAUUCAUAACCUCAAUACAGGGGACAUUUCAAGGAUGGGGGAUUAGGAGCACAGGAAAAGCCAGAUGACAUGCUUCAGUGAUAUUUCAAUGAUGUAUGUUCCCUGGUGAUCUGAAAGGAUUCAAAUAAGAUAUUUCACAGAAAGUGUUUGCAAACAAGAUGUUUAAUGAUCAGCUGAAUUUAGCCUCAGAUGAAUAGCUCCAAUGCACAGCUUUGGGACUUGAGGUCAAAGGAGAAAAAUGUGUGUGGCAAGUUACAAGGACAGAGUGAUUUUCCCAGG